AUCCAGCUGACGAGUCCCAAAUAGGACGAAAUGCACGUCGUGAAC
This is a non-coding RNA of Schistosoma rodhaini, 45 nucleotides long. Lineage: Eukaryota; Metazoa; Platyhelminthes; Trematoda; Strigeidida; Schistosomatidae. The record is from Rfam.